This 441-nucleotide ribosomal RNA is filed under the name uncultured bacterium. Its description in RNAcentral is "partial 16S ribosomal RNA". It matches the Rfam family "Bacterial small subunit ribosomal RNA", at positions 338 to 795 of the family's 1533-position model. The record is from RNAcentral.
CCUACGGGAGACAGCAGUGGGGAAUAUUGCACAAUGGGGGAAACCCUGAUGCAGCGACGCCGCGUGAGUGAAGAAGUACUUCGGUAUGUAAAGCUCUAUCAGCAGGGAAGAAGAAAGACGGUACCUGACUAAGAAGCCCCGGCUAACUACGUGCCAGCAGCCGCGGUAAUACGUAGGGGGCAAGCGUUAUCCGGAUUUACUGGGUGUAAAGGGAGCGUAGACGGCUGUGCAAGUCUGAAGUGAAAGCCCAGGGCUCAACCCUGGGACUGCUUUGGAAACUGUGGAGCUAGAGUGCUGGAGAGGUAAGUGGAAUUCCUAGUGUAGCGGUGAAAUGCGUAGAUAUUAGGAGGAACACCAGUGGCGAAGGCGACUUACUGGACAGUAACUGACGUUGAGGCUCGAAAGCGUGGGGAGCAAACAGGAUUAGAUACCCCUGUAGUC